UGGGGAAUAUUGGACAAUGGGCGCAAGCCUGAUCCAGCCAUGCCGCGUGAGUGACGAAGGCCUUAGGGUUGUAAAGCUCUUUUGGCGGGGAAGAUAAUGACGGUACCCGCAGAAUAAGCCCCGGCAAACUUCGUGCCAGCAGCCGCGGUAAUACGAAGGGGGCUAGCGUUGUUCGGAAUUACUGGGCGUAAAGCGCACGUAGGCUGAUUGUUAAGUCAGGGGUGAAAUCCCAGAGCUCAACUCUGGAACUGCCCUUGAUACUGGCAAUCUCGAGUCCGGAAGAGGUUAGUGGAAUUCCCAGUGUAGAGGUGAAAUUCGUAGAUAUUGGGAAGAACACCAGUGGCGAAGGCGGCUAACUGGUCCGGUACUGACGCUGAGGUGCGAAAGCGUGGGGAGCAAACAGGAUUAGAUACCCUCGUAGUCCCUGAGCGGGCUGGCAAGGCGCAU
RNAcentral lists this ribosomal RNA (447 nucleotides) under uncultured bacterium. RNAcentral's name for it is "bacterial SSU rRNA". It matches the Rfam family "Bacterial small subunit ribosomal RNA", at positions 355 to 825 of the family's 1533-position model. The record is from RNAcentral.